RNAcentral lists this long non-coding RNA (376 nucleotides) under Mytilus galloprovincialis (Mediterranean mussel). Lineage: Eukaryota; Metazoa; Mollusca; Bivalvia; Mytilida; Mytilidae. The record is from RNAcentral.
CUGGUAUUGCUGGGGGAAGCUUGACAAGCAUAGUUAUCCUGAAAACUGCCAAAGCAAGUUCCACAUCACGGUGGAGCAGGAUCUGCUAACCCUUCUGGAGCACCUGAGAUCACCCCCAGUUUUUGGUGGGGUUCAUGUUGCUCAGUCUUUAGUUUUCUAUGUGGUGUCUUCUAUACUAUUAUUUGUCUGUUUGUCUUUUUAUUUUUACCUAUGGCGUUGUCAGUUUAUUUUCAAUCUAUAACUUUGACUUUCCCUCUGGUAUCUUUCGUCCCUCCCUCUUUUGCAAGUACAAACAGAGAGGAAAUAAAUGUCUUGAUUUUUCACAGGGGAGAGCUGCUGAAAACUUAGACAGUCCCAAGGUACUCUGUAUUUUGUC